UACAUCCAACUGUAGCCCCUUGCAGACUAGACAUGGAACUUGAAUCCCUUCCAGCUUUAUAAGAAAUCCAAAGUGCAGCCAGCUGGAAUAUGGCAGCUAGCAUUAUUUGGUCAGAUUUUGGAUGCAAUAUCUGAAAAAGCAACAUACCUUUCAGAACCCCGCAUUGUUAAAGAAGGGAGGAGUACAUGUCUGUUGAGACACAUGUCAGACAAAGAAAUCCGUGAACGCAAGACAAUGGAGAAAAGCAAAGGAGUUCAGGGGAGCACUGGGAAGUCCUGUAAUGAUUUGGACGCUCUCAAACAGUGAUUGUAAAAAGUGGAGGGACUGAAAUUGGUUCAUUGGGGUUUUGGUUAUCUGUACAGACUCAUAAACUUGCUGACAAUGAUCAAUCCA
This is a long non-coding RNA of Sceloporus undulatus (fence lizard), 393 nucleotides long. RefSeq lists it as uncharacterized. NCBI's taxonomy places the organism in Eukaryota, Metazoa, Chordata, Lepidosauria, Squamata, Phrynosomatidae. The transcript is spliced from 2 exons. The record is from RefSeq and is a predicted model, not a curated record.